This is a non-coding RNA of Pantherophis guttatus, 870 nucleotides long. The record is from RefSeq and is a predicted model, not a curated record. NCBI's taxonomy places the organism in Eukaryota, Metazoa, Chordata, Lepidosauria, Squamata, Colubridae.
UAUGUUGCUUUGUAACCACGUAGAAAGAGUUCUUGCUCCUCUCAGCUAGAUUCUUUGUUGCAGGUGUUCAUUACUCAGCCAGGUAACAUCAGCAGUGCUAGUGGUCAGCUGGAACUGGACUCCGGACCGCAUGGAUAGAGCUUAUAUACCUUGGAGGCGGAGUUAAGGUGGUAAGCUGGAACUGGACUCCGGACUGCAUGGAUAGAGCUUAUAUACCUUGGAGGCAGAGUUAAGAAUAUUUCUGGAAUUUAAUGUGGUCCAGGCUGGCGGCAGUGGGACAAGAGAUGGAAAUGAGAUGACAUUUUACAUCUUGGGUUCGUGUUUUCUGGAAGGCGAGAGGGGAUAUCAAUGUCUUAUCAGCCUGAGAAAUUACCAGCAAUGCAUGAUUAACACAGUUCCAUAUUUCUAAAUAGGAAGUUGUUGCAGAGAAGAUAUAUACAUGACAUUCCAUGUGUUUAGGCUUAACCAUCUGAAGAAGAGGAAGAAGAAGAAGAAGAAGAAGAAGAAGAAGAAGAAGAAGAAGAAGAAGAAGAAGAAGAAGAAGAAGAAGAAGAAGAAGAAGAAGAAGAAGAAAGCAAACUAAAUCCCCACUUUAAAUUACAGAAUUUCUAUGAGAAAAAUACAGUUGGGACGUAUAAGACAGUGAAUAUUCUGCAUGCCUUGAACCUAUAAUGGGCCUGAAACAGAAUAAGUGUAUUCAUCAGUUCAGUGUUUAAUUUUUCAUUUGUUUUGCAUCUCAAGGGCUUGAAAUGCCAGAGCUUUCUUUUCUAUGUACAUCUCUCCUGUUUUGCUGCUAUCUUUUUGUUUAUAAAUUAUAUUUCAUUCCUAAUAACAUUUUUACCUUCUUUCUUCUCUUAUAUUUGUGAUUAA